This 88-nucleotide transfer RNA is filed under the name Phycisphaeraceae bacterium. RNAcentral describes it as "tRNA-Ser". It matches the Rfam family "tRNA". Rfam says of the family: Transfer RNA (tRNA) molecules are approximately 80 nucleotides in length. Their secondary structure includes four short double-helical elements and three loops (D, anti-codon, and T loops). RNAcentral also lists the same sequence under 1 other name. The record is from RNAcentral. Lineage: Bacteria; Pseudomonadati; Planctomycetota; Phycisphaerae; Phycisphaerales; Phycisphaeraceae.
GGUGGGAUGGCGGAGCGGCUGAACGCGCCGGUCUUGAAAACCGGUAGGGGGCUCGUCCUCCUCGUGGGUUCGAAUCCCACUCCCACCG